RNAcentral lists this small RNA (253 nucleotides) under Vigna angularis var. angularis. RNAcentral describes it as "Non-protein coding transcript". The record is from RNAcentral. Lineage: Eukaryota; Viridiplantae; Streptophyta; Magnoliopsida; Fabales; Fabaceae.
GUUGGAGGUGACUAAGGGACCUUAGGGCGUGACAACUCUCUACAAAGCCAAGAUUUGUUUUCCUAUUAGCGAAAAGAUGGUGUCGAACCACGCAGUCAAUAUUCUACGACACCACUAUUAUUCAAUAAUUUCAGCAAAAAUAUGAUGACCUCUCACCCAAACAGCUUAUAUGGACUUCGUACAAACGUGAUGAGAUUUGUUAGAUGAUUGAAGUCGAAUUACCCCCCACUUGUUGGGCAGUAGUGCCUCUCAU